CCCUUGUCCUUAGUUGCCAGCACGUAAUGGUGGGAACUCUAAGGAGACUGCCGGUGACAAACCGGAGGAAGGUGGGGAUGACGUCAAGUCAUCAUGGCCCUUACGGCCAGGGCUACACACGUACUACAAUGGUCGGUACAGAGGGUUGCAAUACCGCGAGGUGGAGCCAAUCCCAGAAAGCCGAUCCCAGUCCGGAUCGGAGUCUGCAACUCGACUCCGUGAAGUCGGAAUCGCUAGUAAUCGCGGAUCAGCUAUGCCGCGGUGAAUACGUUCCCGGGCCUU
RNAcentral lists this ribosomal RNA (282 nucleotides) under uncultured bacterium. RNAcentral describes it as "partial 16S ribosomal RNA". It matches the Rfam family "Bacterial small subunit ribosomal RNA", at positions 1102 to 1382 of the family's 1533-position model. The record is from RNAcentral.